This 541-nucleotide ribosomal RNA is filed under the name uncultured bacterium. Its description in RNAcentral is "bacterial SSU rRNA". It matches the Rfam family "Bacterial small subunit ribosomal RNA", at positions 355 to 896 of the family's 1533-position model. The record is from RNAcentral.
UGAGGAAUAUUGGUCAAUGGGCGAGAGCCUGAACCAGCCAAGUCGCGUGAAGGAUGACUGUCUUAUGGAUUGUAAACUUCUUUUAUACGGGAAUAACAAGAGCCACGUGUGGCUCCCUGCAUGUACCGUAUGAAUAAGCAUCGGCUAACUCCGUGCCAGCAGCCGCGGUAAUACGGAGGAUGCGAGCGUUAUCCGGAUUUAUUGGGUUUAAAGGGUGCGUAGGCGGCCUGUUAAGUCAGCGGUGAAAUCUAGGAGCUUAACUCCUAAAUUGCCAUUGAUACUGGCGGGCUUGAGUGUAGAUGAGGUAGGCGGAAUGCGUGGUGUAGCGGUGGAAUGCAUAGAUAUCACGCAGAACUCCGAUUGCGAAGGCAGCUUACUAAGGUACAACUGACGCUGAAGCACGAAAGCGUGGGUAUCAAACAGGAUUAGAUACCCUGGUAGUCCACGCAGUAAACGAUGAUAACUGGGCGUAUGCGAUAUACAGUAUGCUCCUAAGCGAAAGCGUUAAGUUAUCCACCUGGGGAGUACGCCGGCAACGGUG